RNAcentral lists this ribosomal RNA (556 nucleotides) under Shigella sonnei. Its description in RNAcentral is "partial 23S ribosomal RNA". It matches the Rfam family "Bacterial large subunit ribosomal RNA", at positions 474 to 1030 of the family's 2925-position model. The record is from RNAcentral. Lineage: Bacteria; Pseudomonadati; Pseudomonadota; Gammaproteobacteria; Enterobacterales; Enterobacteriaceae.
UCCUGACUGACCGAUAGUGAACCAGUACCGUGAGGGAAAGGCGAAAAGAACCCCGGCGAGGGGAGUGAAAAAGAACCUGAAACCGUGUACGUACAAGCAGUGGGAGCACGCUUAGGCGUGUGACUGCGUACCUUUUGUAUAAUGGGUCAGCGACUUAUAUUCUGUAGCAAGGUUAACCGAAUAGGGGAGCCGAAGGGAAACCGAGUCUUAACUGGGCGUUAAGUUGCAGGGUAUAGACCCGAAACCCGGUGAUCUAGCCAUGGGCAGGUUGAAGGUUGGGUAACACUAACUGGAGGACCGAACCGACUAAUGUUGAAAAAUUAGCGGAUGACUUGUGGCUGGGGGUGAAAGGCCAAUCAAACCGGGAGAUAGCUGGUUCUCCCCGAAAGCUAUUUAGGUAGCGCCUCGUGAAUUCAUCUCCGGGGGUAGAGCACUGUUUCGGCAAGGGGGUCAUCCCGACUUACCAACCCGAUGCAAACUGCGAAUACCGGAGAAUGUUAUCACGGGAGACACACGGCGGGUGCUAACGUCCGUCGUGAAGAGGGAAACAACCCAG